UACAUGGGGUGCAAACGUUGCUCGGAAUUACUGGGCGUAAAGCGUGCGCAGGCGGUUUUGUAAGUCAGAUGUGAAAUCCCCGGGCUUAACCUGGGAAUGGCCUUUGUGACUGCACGGCUAGAGUGUGUCAGAGGGAGGUAGAAUUCCACGUGUAGCAGUGAAAUGCGUAGAUAUCUGGAGGAACACCGGUGGCGAAGGCGGCAUUCUGGACCAAUACUGACGCUGAGGAGCGAAAGCCAGGGGAGCAAACGGG
This 253-nucleotide ribosomal RNA is filed under the name uncultured bacterium. RNAcentral's name for it is "partial 16S ribosomal RNA". It matches the Rfam family "Bacterial small subunit ribosomal RNA", at positions 524 to 776 of the family's 1533-position model. The record is from RNAcentral.